Molecule: long non-coding RNA, 312 nt
Filed under: Salmo salar (Atlantic salmon)
Lineage: Eukaryota; Metazoa; Chordata; Actinopteri; Salmoniformes; Salmonidae
Description: lncRNA (ENSSSAG00000088553.1)
Source: RNAcentral
GUCAGUCCUGUUAGAAUCAGAGCUGGUGGUCAGUCCUGUUAGGGUUAGAAUCAGAGCAGGUGGUCAGUCCUGUUAGGGUUAGAAUCAGAGCAGGUGGUCAGUCCUGUUAGAAUCAGAGCAGGUGGUCAGUCCUGUUAGAAUCAGAGCAGGUGGUCAGUCCUGUUAGGGUUAGAAUCAGAGCAGGUGGUCAGUCCUGUUAGAAUCAGAGCAGGUGGUCAGUCCUGUUAGGGUUAGAAUCAGAGCAGGUGGUCAGUCCUGUUAGAAUCAGAGCAGGUGGUCAGUCCUGUUAGAAUCAGAGCAGGGGGUCAGUCC